This 315-nucleotide ribosomal RNA is filed under the name Triticum aestivum (bread wheat). Its description in RNAcentral is "partial small subunit ribosomal RNA". Lineage: Eukaryota; Viridiplantae; Streptophyta; Magnoliopsida; Poales; Poaceae. The record is from RNAcentral.
AUGGACUCACACACUCUCACGCAUGAGCAUGGCCGGCAACUAGCUAGCUCACAUACACAUAUGAGACAUAUACCAGAUCAGAUGCACUUGGCACUGAUUCCAGAUACAGCUCCAGGAGCACUUUGUACUGCACGAUGUACACCCCAGAUAGAUGCACGCAGACAUGCAUCAGUAGGAGUAUUAUCUCUCCGGAGAGCUCCGAAGCUAGGUAAACCACCGCGUGCUACUUGCAUACCCGCUCCCGGGCCUAUCAGCAACAGUCUUACCCACACACUAAGCCCUUGUGGCAUCUGUCGACUCGCAAGCCCCCCGUGA